RNAcentral lists this ribosomal RNA (550 nucleotides) under Harringtonia brunnea. RNAcentral's name for it is "LSU rRNA". It matches the Rfam family "Eukaryotic large subunit ribosomal RNA", at positions 44 to 631 of the family's 3401-position model. The record is from RNAcentral. Lineage: Eukaryota; Fungi; Ascomycota; Sordariomycetes; Ophiostomatales; Ophiostomataceae.
CAAUAAGCGGAGGAAAAGAAACCAACAGGGAUUGCCCCAGUAACGGCGAGUGAAGCGGCACCAGCUCAAAUUUGAAAUCCGGCCCUCCCCCGCGGGGGGGUCUGAGUUGUAAUUUGGAGAGGACGCUUCUGGCGCGGCGCCGUCCGAGUUCCCUGGAACGGGACGCCGGAGAGGGUGAGAGCCCCGUACGGGCGGCCGCCAAGCCUCUGCGAAGCUCCUUCGACGAGUCGAGUAGUUUGGGAAUGCUGCUCUAAACGGGAGGUAAAUUUCUUCCAAAGCUAAAUACUGGCCAGAGACCGAUAGCGCACAAGUAGAGUGAUCGAAAGAUGAAAAGCACUUUGAAAAGAGAGUCAAACAGUACGUGAAAUUGUUGAAAGGGAAGCGCCUGUGGCCAGACUUGCGCCCCGCGGACCACCCGGCGCCCCGGCGCCGGGGCACUCUGCGGGGUGCAGGCCAGCAUCGGCUCCCCUGGGGCCACAAAGGCCGCGGGAACGUAGCGCCCUCGCGGCGUGUUACAGCCCGCGGCGGCAUGCCCCCGGGGGGGCCGAGG